This 305-nucleotide ribosomal RNA is filed under the name uncultured bacterium. RNAcentral's name for it is "bacterial SSU rRNA". It matches the Rfam family "Bacterial small subunit ribosomal RNA", at positions 332 to 638 of the family's 1533-position model. The record is from RNAcentral.
CAUAACCUACGGGGCGCAGCAGUGGGGAAUAUUGCACAAUGGGGGAAACCCUGAUGCAGCGACGCCGCGUGAGUGAAGAAGUAUUUCGGUACGUAAAGCUCUAUCAGCAGGGAAGAAAAAAAGUCCUUUGGACUUUGGACGGUACCUGACCAAGAAGCCCCGGCUAACUACGUGCCAGCAGCCGCGGUAAUACGUAGGGGGCAAGCGUUAUCCGGAUUUACCGGGUGUAAAGGGAGCGUAGACGGCAGCACAAGUCUGAAGUGAAAUGCCGGGGCUUAACCCCGGAACUGCUUUGGAAACUGUGG